ACGGCCGCGGUAUUUUGACCGUGCGAAGGUAGCGCAAUCACUUGUCUUUUAAAUGGAGACCUGUAUGAAUGGCACCACGAGGGCUUAACUGUCUCCCUCUCCCAGUCAAUGAAAUUGAUCUCCCCGUGCAGAAGCGGGGAUAAAAACAUAAGACGAGAAGACCCUAUGGAGCUUAAGACGCCAGAGCAGCCCACGUUAAACACCCUAAAACAAAAGAUAAAACAAAGUGGACCCCGCUCUAGUGUCUUUGGUUGGGGCGACCGCGGGGAAAAACUUAACCCCCAUGUGGAAUAGGAGUACUAUACUCUCAAAUCCAAGAGCUCCCGCUCUAAUAAACAGAAUUUCUGACCAACAAGAUCCGGCAAUGCCGAUCAACGGACCGAGUUACCCUAGGGAUAACAGCGCAAUCCUCUUAAAGAGCCCUUAUCGACAAGGGGGUUUACGACCUCGAUGUUGGAUCAGGACAUCCUAAUGGUGC
This 478-nucleotide ribosomal RNA is filed under the name Diplodus cervinus (zebra seabream). RNAcentral describes it as "partial 16S ribosomal RNA". It matches the Rfam family "Bacterial large subunit ribosomal RNA", at positions 1927 to 2556 of the family's 2925-position model. Lineage: Eukaryota; Metazoa; Chordata; Actinopteri; Spariformes; Sparidae. The record is from RNAcentral.